Molecule: ribosomal RNA, 495 nt
Filed under: uncultured bacterium
Lineage: Bacteria
Description: partial 16S ribosomal RNA
Rfam family: Bacterial small subunit ribosomal RNA
Source: RNAcentral
GACGAACGCUGGCGGCGUGCCUAAUACAUGCAAGUAGAACGCUGAAGGAGGAGCUUGCUUCUCUGGAUGAGUUGCGAACGGGUGAGUAACGCGUAGGUAACCUGCCUGGUAGCGGGGGAUAACUAUUGGAAACGAUAGCUAAUACCGCAUAAUAGUAGAUGUUGCAUGACAUUUGCUUAAAAGGUGCAAUUGCAUCACUACCAGAUGGACCUGUGUUGUAUUAGCUAGUUGGUGAGGUAACGGCUCACCAAGGCGACGAUACAUAGCCGACCUGAGAGGGUGAUCGGCCACACUGGGACUGAGACACGGCCCAGACUCCUACGGGAGGCAGCAGUAGGGAAUCUUCGGCAAUGGACGGAAGUCUGACCGAGCAACGCCGCGUGAGUGAAGAAGGUUUUCGGAUCGUAAAGCUCUGUUGUAAGAGAAGAACGAGUGUGAGAGUGGAAAGUUCACACUGUGACGGUAGCUUACCAGAAAGGGACGGCUAACUACGUG